UGCUCAUUUCGAAAUAGGUGAAAAACAAUUUAAUUUAUUGUUUUUGUGCUCAUGAAAAUAUAGAAAGAAUAAUAUUUUUCUUUAAAAUAAAAUUUAUCAUAAGGCUUAGCAACAAUUGUGUGUAGAACAUGCUGGUGCAUUUUAUUUCUGAGAUGAGUGAUUUUGACCAAAGUUUGAAAAUGGUUCAAACAGAUUUUUAAAUGGAUUUGAAGUAGGCUUUUGAUUAAAAGAAAAAAGAAAAAAAAGAAGAAGAGACAAAACCUCUCCUUUUCUUUCUCUCCAUCUCGGCCCAGCACCCCCUCCCCUUUCUCCCCUCGCGCGGCCCAGCUCGCGGCGCGGCCCAGUGUCGCCCCAGCCCAACCGCGCCUCCCUUCCCCUCUUCUCUCUCUGACCAGCGGGCCCCAUACUUUCUCCCUCUGACCGGUGGGACCCUUCUGUCAGCGCCUCCCUUCUCCCUUUCUUCCCCAGCGCACGCAACCGAGCCGGACUCCACACCGGUCAAGACAAAUCCCGAUUUUGACGGGAUUUGAUCUUCCCGAUCCCUAUAAAGAUCACCAACCUUGCCUCGAAUCUCGUUUUUCCACCCGAGCCGCAAAAACCAAGCCCUAGCUGCCUUCCCCACCCGAGUUGGAUCUCGCCGAAUUGCAAAGCAAGCCGCUGCCGCUGCGAGAUCCGUUCGCGCUUCCCCGGCUCGAACUAAGGGCGCAGGUGAGCUCGUCUCUCCCUCCUCUUUGCUCUGGUGCUCUUGGUUCGGCUUUUGGCGCAAGGAAUCGGGAGUUUGAAGAAUGCCGACGAGCUUGGCGGCGGCAACAAUGGCCGCCACCGCGCCGGAGCAGGGAGCCGGCCGGUCGGCCGCCGCUGGCUUUCCCCUGGCGAAGGUGGACCGUCCGAUCGAGGAUGAAGGGAUAGGAUUAGAAGAUACCUCUUCGGCGGCAUUUUUGCUAAAGAAUCCCCGGAGAAAUCUACAAAAUAACCCGCGGUCCUUGGCGUAAACCACUGAAUACGUUUUCUCAAUUUUAAAAGCGUACUUUCGUCGGUUUAAAAGAAAAUUACGUUUUCAGUAUUUACAGUUUUGCCACCAGAUUUAAAUUGCUUAUAACAUGCUCAUCUUAAAUCCGUUUUGGUCCAUUCAAAUUGCGUUAGGUUCGUAAUUAUGAGUUUUACAUGUUAGUAACACUAUUUUCUCAGUUUGAAAUCUUUUAAUUUCGUGAUCCUAUUUAAUUAAUUACUUUCCUAUAUAAAAUCUUAGAAAAUUCAUAACUUCACCGUUUUAAUUCCGAUUUUCGUGAUCUUUACGUCUAUGAAAUCGUAGCGAUGCGUAGAAUCUUUUUAUAAACUUUUCAUACUGUUUUUAUAUGUUUGGUGUACUGUUCUAAUUAUAGCCUUGUUUGCUUCGUGUAUGUUUUCUCCGAUUGUUUGUGUGAUCGAUGAUCGAGUUUAGACGGGGAGCCGUUUCGGUGAUCAAGAGCAAAGCUUUGGCAACAAGUGAGACCAGCAGAACCAAAAGGAUUAGCAAGAUCAUUGGAUCGAGGCAAGUAUAGCAUUUGGAUUCUAUUUCUGUGACCAUGAUCCUGUGGCUAGAUUAAUGAUAAAGUAAUAAACGAUGAAAAAAUGACUUUUUAGCAACUUGAUGAUUUAUCUGUACGUGAUCACCCGGGACAACAGUGCAACCAUGAGGGCUAUAAUGGCUCUGGCUUUAGUUAAGUAUGAGUAACUUUUCUAGCUCGUUAGCGGUUACCCGUUGUGGCGCAAUUGGGGAAUAGCAGACCGUGGAUUCCUGCGGGUGAAUCACACGGACUGACUAAUGAAACCAAGCGGCCCUAACUUGUUAGACGAACCUUUGAAAGACUUCAUAGUGAUCCCUGCCGACCUCCCUAGGAAGGGGGUUAAGAGACUAGCUACCUCGGGCGAAAGGGUAAAUCAUGACUCAUGGGUAAAGAUGUGCAACCUCUGCAGAGGGUUAAAAACUAGUAUACUAGCCGAGCUCACGGUCAGGAGCGGCCUUGGGGACAUCUACAUUAAGGGUGAUGAUUCUUGUGUGUUAAAUAUGCUUAUUGUUUAUUGUUUAAUUCUUUACAUUAUUUAUGUCACAUUGAUCAUGAGAUUGUGGGAGCUAUACAAUCUAGUUGCUAUACUUGUGGAGUUCGACAUGGACUCACUCUUGCUAUUUUCCCCAAACCUCAGGAGAAGUUUAGGCUUGUGAUCAACCAGUCAGUUGGAUCCUGUAGAGUGGAGUUAAUACCCGAAGUUGGAGUUAUCUAUCCGCUGUUUGCUUUUAAAGGUUAUCUCUUUUAUACUAAGUACGUUAUAUAUUUAUGCAUUGUCUUUUGAUAUUACCCCUUAUUUGUAGCUAUAUGUGAGAUUUGACUUCUAAGACUCACAUAUGGUGCAUAUCUGGUUUUGUCCUUAAAAUCGGGUAUUACAAAGUGGUAUCAGAGCAAUGCUGACUGUAGGACGCAAGCCUAGUUAGAAAUUUGUCGUCUUAAGGUUUUGGAAUUGUCAUAAAACCCUUGCUCUAUAAACCUUGAUAUUUUUCUCCAUACUAUAUCCUUUUCAUUGCUAUUCAUCUUCACCUUGAUGCUUAUUUUAAAAGUACUUAUUCUCAUCCCCACUCCUUGCUUGAUAUGCUUUUAGAACUUUUUCUUACCACCUUCUUACAUCGUUGGAAUAGGUGUUUUAAGAUAUCUACCCUUGCUAUGAAGCGAACGAUAGUAUCACAAAUUGAGUGAAGUGUGCUUAAUUGGUUUGUUAUUAUGCUUAUGCUUGAUUUGGAUCUUUGUAACGAGUGCAAUGAUCUUGUGGGGUUUCUCCACAACAUCAUUUAGUUUAUAGGCCUAAGGCAUAAGGAGUAAUGACAUAAGUAGUUGGGUUUGGUUAUAUCCUGUUUCUAUCCCUUGCUGUUUUCUAGAGCAGUCUGCAAUAAUUCUGGUGUAUCUAAAGGUCCGAUCGUGCAAAGUUUAUCAAAUUUUUCUGGGAACAACUAGACUUCAAGAUCUUUCUCUGACCGCAAGAAUCACCCUCAUAGCUAUUAUGGUUUAGAAGUUACAAAAAUCACAAGAUGAUACAACUGUGCUGCCAAGAAUCUGGAUCAGUUUUGGUUGCUUACUGUUUGAGACAAACAUAGCUAUGGAAUUUGGAAAAGUUCUCUAUAGAAACGUUUAAGACAAUUUUCUAAGCUUUCCAACAGUAUAAGCUGGAAGUCAUUUGGAUAAGUAGAACCCGAGAUAUGAUAUUUACAGUUGGAUGUUUCUGUUCUGUUUCAAGAUCUGGACAGAUCUGGCAUUUACUAUUUUCAGCCAAGUUAAAAACAAAAUCAGGGAAAGCGUUGUAUACGAAAGAUGUAGAGGAUUUCAUAAGCUUUCCAACAAUAUAAGGAUCAUCUCCAGAUGAGUUAAGUAGCUCGAGAUAUAAUUUCUGGAAGUUACUGCACCUUUGCUGAGACAUUAUCAGGAAGGAUAUUAUGUUUGGUUGUUUUACCUAAGCUUAAAGACAGAAUCUAAGGAGGUCUUCUACAUGAAAGUUGUAGGGAAUUUCAUAAUCUUUCUAAUGGUAUAAGGUACAACUCUAUUGGAUUAACAAAAUGAGAGUUAUACCUGUUUUUCUAUGCUGGUGUUUUCAUAUCGUGGGAAAAUUUCAGGAUACAUGUUUGUUCUCUUGCACAGAAGCUCUUUGGGAUGUCAUAAGUUCUCAAUGUUAGUUAACUUGUCUGGAAAACUUGCUAGCUACCUUUCUUGCGUCCCCUGGUUGAUCUUUCUUAAGUGGGGUAGCCCAAAUAAAGGGGUUACAUGGAGAAGAAUUGCAUAAUGUUGGAUGGAUCAAGAGACUCGGUACAACGAAUUUUAAAGACUAUAUGAUGUGUAGCAUUUAAAAAGGUUAUGAGGACUCGUCCCUAAUGUCUCCCCAAUCAAUCUAAUUUUAAGGGGGGUAGUACCCUGAUAUCACAGGAUGAUGUAUUUUGAAGUGAUAAUUGUCUUCUGAGAUAUUCUAUGGUUAUGAUCAUCUAUCCUUGCCGUGUUACUGACGUUGGUCACUUGAUGACAGGGAGUGUAGUGUCCCAUGGAUUCGGAGCAUAAUAUGACGCCUCUCAUGGAUAGGUGGGAAGAAUAUGAUCAUUUUGCCUUUGAAGAAAGAUGCUAUGAGUAUGACAAAGCUGAGUGUUAUCAAAAUAAUAAUAUUGAAGAGCAAGUUGAUAAUGAAUCAAAUCAAAAUCCACAACGACGAAAGCGUAAAAGGAAAGCUCGUAAGAGGCACGCUCCUGGAAAUAAAGUGCAGCAAAAUUAUAUCAAUGGAAGACUGAACAAUGUGGAUAGGCAUAACAUUCAAGGAGCCACCAAAGUGGUGGGAGGCUAUAUUCAAGUGGACUCAGUACUAGUUUUUGCUCUGUUUGACCGAAGUGCUUCGCAUUCUUUCAUAUCCACCGACUUGGUAAAGACAAUCGAACGGGUGAAGUGUCCGACGAGAAAGCCUUUGUUAGUUCAAACCCCAAUGGGAGAAAUACAGGCAGAUCAGGUUUGCUCAAAUAUCAAUCUUGUCAUAAAGAAGGAAAACUUCACUGUAAACCUCAUUGUGCUAGAGUCACUCAAUAUUCCUUUGGUUCUUGGCAAUGGAUGGUUAUGUGCACACAAGGCAGUGAUCUAUGCUACCCAGUGGAAAAUAUUCUUAACUGCACCAUCAGGGAAAAGAAUUGAGUAUCAAGGUGGUCCACUCCUACCUGAGGAGGCAUAUCCAUGCCGAGGUAUCAUGUUUUCGAGUUGUAUAAGUUGAAAAGUUGGUAGUCAAGAUGGACAGUGAGCAAUUACAAAUAAUAGACAUCUUAUGGAAGUUUUGUUCACAAGUUGUAAUCCUGAAACAUAAGUGCUUGCAUUUGGAAUACAGGUUGUCAAGUUGAAAUAAGGAUCAAUAUCUUGUUCUUGUUUCUCUUUUGGAAUCUGUGCCUCUUCCGAAUCUCGAGGACGAGAUUCAUUUUAAGGGGGGUAGAUUUGUAACACCCAAAAUUUUGCUCAUUUUGAAAUAGGUGAAAAACAAUUUAAUUUAUUGUUUUUGUGCUCAUGAAAAUAUAGAAAGAAUAAUAUUUUUCUUUAAAAUAAAAUUUAUCAUAAGGCUUAGCAACAAUUGUGUGUAGAACAUGCUGGAGCAUUUUAUUUCUGAGAUGAGUGAUUUUGACCAAAGUUUGAAAAUGGUUCAAACAGAUUUUUAAAUGGAUUUCAAGUAGGCUUUUGAUUAAAAGAAAAAAGAAAAAAAAGAAGAAGAGACAAAACCUCUCCUUUUCUUUCUCUCCAUCUCGGCCCAGCACCCCCUCCCCUUUCUCCACUCGCGCGGCCCAGCUCGCGGCGCGGCCCAGUGUCGCCCCAGCCCAACCGCGCCUCCCUUCCCCUCUUCUCUCUCUGACCAGCGGGCCCCAUACUUUCUCCCUCUGACCGGUGGGACCCUUCUGUCAGCGCCUCCCUUCUCCCUUUCUUCCCCAGCGCACGCAACCGAGCCGGACUCCACACCGGUCAAGACAAAUCCCGAUUUUGACGGGAUUUGAUCUUCCCGAUCCCUAUAAAGAUCACCAACCUUGCCUCGAAUCUCGUUUUUCCACCCGAGCCGCAAAAACCAAGCCCUAGCUGCCUUCCCCACC
This 5620-nucleotide long non-coding RNA is filed under the name Sorghum bicolor (sorghum). Its description in RNAcentral is "long non-coding RNA (SBIC_LNC013658)". Lineage: Eukaryota; Viridiplantae; Streptophyta; Magnoliopsida; Poales; Poaceae. The record is from RNAcentral.